GUGCAGCCUCUGCAGAACUGGAGAGAGCCGAGUGGCCCCGACCUCGACCAUCAGCUCUCUGCCUUGGCCCCAGUCCUGGCUGCUGCAGCCCCUCUUGCACAAACCCUCUGGUCCUCUGUCCUGGAGGGGACUCCGGCCUGGGAGCAGCAGAAGCUCUGCCUGUGGAGCCAUGGACAGCCGGUCAUUGAACCAGGCCCCAACACAGUGCCAGGUGCGGCAAAGCGCAGAACCAGAGGCAGAAUUUGAAAUCAAGACGUUUGGAGCAAAGCCAUCCGAUGCAGCCUCCAAGUGAAGCCAGAAUUCGACAGGCAGCCAGGUCGAUGGGCAAGUCGAGUCCUGUCAGGUCAAGGAGGCCAAUUUUGACCCACCUGUUGGCCAUCCCACCGAGCAUUUCCUGGGCCCAGUCAUGUCUGCAGGAAGGAGAAAGAUAAGGGGGACAAGCAGGAGAACAAGAGGGCAGAGCACCUCGCUUCUUGGGAUACCAGGACACCAGCUGUGGCCCCUUCUCCCUCCUGCGAGAAGUCUAUGUGACCCCUUUAAAUAAACCUGCUUCAUCGGC
This is a long non-coding RNA of Ictidomys tridecemlineatus (thirteen-lined ground squirrel), 559 nucleotides long. RefSeq lists it as uncharacterized. The record is from RefSeq and is a predicted model, not a curated record. Lineage: Eukaryota; Metazoa; Chordata; Mammalia; Rodentia; Sciuridae.